Molecule: ribosomal RNA, 494 nt
Filed under: uncultured bacterium
Lineage: Bacteria
Description: partial 16S ribosomal RNA
Rfam family: Bacterial small subunit ribosomal RNA
Source: RNAcentral
AUGAACGCUGGCGGCGUGCUUAACACAUGCAAGUCGAACGAAGCACCUCUCCCGAAGAUUGACACAGCUUGCUGUAGAUUGAUUCAUUUGAGGUGACUGAGUGGCGGACGGGUGAGUAACGCGUGGGUAACCUGCCUCAUAGAGGGGGACAACAGUUGGAAACGACUGCUAAUACCGCAUAGUAAGAAGAAUUCGCAUGUUUUCUUCUUGAAAGAUUUAUCGCUGUGAGAUGGACCCGCGUCUGAUUAGCUAGUUGGUAAGGUAACGGCUUACCAAGGCGACGAUCAGUAGCCGGCUUGAGAGAGUGAACGGCCACAUUGGGACUGAGACACGGCCCAAACUCCUACGGGAGGCAGCAGUGGGGAAUAUUGCACAAUGGGGGAAACCCUGAUGCAGCGACGCCGCGUGAGUGAAGAAGUAUUUCGGUAUGUAAAGCUCUAUCAGCAGGGAAGAUAAUGACGGUACCUGACUAAGAAGCCCCGGCUAACUACGUG